This 482-nucleotide ribosomal RNA is filed under the name uncultured bacterium. RNAcentral's name for it is "partial 16S ribosomal RNA". It matches the Rfam family "Bacterial small subunit ribosomal RNA", at positions 29 to 507 of the family's 1533-position model. The record is from RNAcentral.
AUUGAACGCUGGCGGCAUGAUUUACACAUGCAAGUCGAACGGUAACAGGCCGCAAGGUGCUGACGAGUGGCGAACGGGUGAGUAAUUCAUCGGAACGUGCCCAGUCGUGGGGGAUAACUAAUCGAAAGAGUAGCUAGUACCGCAUACGAUCUGUGGAUGAAAUGGGGGGACCGGAAGGCCUCGCGUGAGUGGAGCGGGCGGUGUCCGAGUCGGUAGUUGGUGGGGGAAAGGCACACCAAGCCAACGAUUUGUAGGUGGUGCCUGAGGACGAGGAGCCACACUGGGACGGAGCCACGGCCCAGACUCCUGCGGGACGCCGCAGUGUGCAACUUUGGACAAUGGUCGCAAGCCUUAUCCAGCAAUGCCGCGCGCAGGACGACGGCCUUCGGGUUGUAAUCUGCUCUUGCGCGGAAUGAACCGGCUCCGGUUAAUACCAGGCGCUAAUGACGGUACCGUAAGAAUAAGCACCGGCUAACUACGUG